UCGGCCUCCCCAAAGCGCUGGGACUACAGGCGUGAGCCACCACACCUGGCCAGAAUGUGAUAUAUCUAAAGGAGUUAUUUAUCUAGUUUAUAAAAUCUUGGAAAGAAACAAUCUAUCUUCUGGAGGAGACUCUGAGGUCUGAGCAUAUAAAAUUGUACAGGCUGUGAAGUUACUGCCCUAUGACAUAUAAGAGAGCAUCAUUAUUAGAUUAUGGGUUAGAGGUCCCGAGUUCCUAGUUCAGGCUCUGGAACUAAUUUUCUGAUGACUUUUGGAAAGUUCCUACAUAUUUGCUUCAAAAAUCUUUUUCUAGUUACAGAUAAAAGAGUUGGAAAUAUUUAAGAUAGCAAAUAUACUGCUUGAGGGUUGUUACUUUCCGCCAUCUCCACAUUCAUCUAUAUAGAUAGUUAAACCUGACCCUAUUCAUUCAUUCAUUUAUUAAAACUUGACCAAAACCCUCAUUCUUAAACUUUGUAGUUUUCAACACACGUAUGAACAUAAUUGAAUUGUCAUUUAACAUGAAUAUUACUCCCAGAGCAGAUGGUCUCCAAGCCCUCUUCUAUUUUCCUAGUAUUCUGUGAUCUUGCAUGGAUCCUUCUGUGCAAGAAAUUUUGCAUAACCUCUAAAAGGGAUCCCUUUUGCUUCAGUUCUUGACUAUGUGCCUUGGUUGACUGCCUUUUCCUUAAUGCAGGACACACUUUGCUCAUGAGUACAGUUAAUGAACUAUUAGAACAUUAGUGCCCACACAUUCGUGUGCAUCAGCAUCUGGAGAAACACAGAUUUCUGUACCCCACUUCAGUUGUUGAUCCAGGAGGUCUGGAGUGAGACCCUUGAAUUUGCAAUUCCAACAAGUUUCUUGGUGAUUGUGAUGCUGCUGCUCCAAGGAUAACAUUUUCAGAAACAUUUCUGUCUAAAACAUUACUGAACCUAGAGUUAGUAGAUCUCCAAUCAUCUAUGGAUAGAUUUCAGGGAGAGUAUAAAAAAGAAAAAGAUGGUUUAAACAAUUGCAUUUAUAUUUUACUAAACUACUAUGAAUGUAGGCAACAAACCACAGAAAUAUUAGUUGUACCUGACUUUGUCCCAAUAUAAAUAAGACAUAUUUUCAUAUCAUCCUACAAUGGUUUCAGAUAUCUUGAAAUAUGGUUUAUGCACAUCACCACUCUGACAUAAUAUUGGCUAUUUAUCUGUCAUUAGAUUUGAUUAUGAGUUAUUAUAAAGGCCAUUUCUUAUUAUGUCUCAAUAAAACAUGUUAGUAACUUAUUUUAAUAUAAAUUUUUCUUUUUAAUUUUAUGCAUUUUAUUUUUAACACUGAAAAUAGUAUUCUGAAUAGAAUUUAUAGGCUUCAUCAAUUUGUUAGAAGGGUUCAUGGCGGGAGACAUAAACUCUCUUUCUAAAUGAUGAGAAUAAUAAAGAUGUUAAGGCCAAGUCAUGUGCCAUACACCAGGACCUUCGUGGUUAUGCUCACACCAUCAGAAAACCUGGCAGCCACAGAACUGGAGGUGCUGGGUGAUGUCUCUCUCCUGUCGCCUUCCCAUCUGAGCAGAUGAUGCUUAUAGUAAGAUGCCUCUGAUGUUUCUUUAAGUUUGAUUAUCACUCAGAGUAGCAGCUCUCAAAACAUGGUGGCAGUGGCAAGGUCUCUGCAACCUUUUCAUGGAAUCUCAAAAGACAAGAAAGCACCUGGAUCGAUGCUGAGGCCAAGUAAAUAAGAACAGGAGGAUGCCUCUCCCUGAGCCCUGGCAGAAGCAUUAGACUGAUGGAUUGUGGUCCUUGCUUCAGAGAAGGAUGCCCACUCUUUUGUUAGUUGAAAUAUCUGCUUUGUUCAUUAAUCUGACAAGUGAACAUAGGAGACUUGCUUGAAAACACAUCCAUCUCUUCCUGGACUCUGCAAAGAUACUUUCCUUGGCAAGUGAAAAGUCAAAAGCCUACCUGCAGUGACAUUUGCAUCAUGAGUGACAGUAACAGAUGAAAAUUUAAACCUUCCAUGCACCAUUUGGAAGCAUCAGUGGGAAAGUCUCUAUUCAUUAGUUUGAAGCUGGGGGCUUCCAUAGUACUCUGUUUGCCAGCCAAACUGGGAAUGUAGUUAUUUGGCUAUAUUAGGGCUGUCAACCUAAAUAACAGAGAGAGGUUUCCUAAGAGAAAAGAUGUUCAUUUGGGAAUAGAGUAUUAGAAUAGGGAUAUGCAUGCUGUAGUACACUAUGUGCAUAUCCAAGGAGGUAAAGGAAGACAAAAGUUUUUAAAAGAAAUUAAUGAGAAUUAGAUAAUU
Long non-coding RNA from Homo sapiens (human), 2260 nucleotides. RefSeq lists it as uncharacterized. The transcript has 3 exons. The record is from RefSeq and is a predicted model, not a curated record. NCBI's taxonomy places the organism in Eukaryota, Metazoa, Chordata, Mammalia, Primates, Hominidae.